This 717-nucleotide long non-coding RNA is filed under the name Dasypus novemcinctus (nine-banded armadillo). Its description in RNAcentral is "lncRNA (ENSDNOG00000050220.1)". The record is from RNAcentral. Lineage: Eukaryota; Metazoa; Chordata; Mammalia; Cingulata; Dasypodidae.
CACACGCCAGGUAGGGGCUGAGCCCAGGCGCAGGCCCGCCUGCUUGCUGCCCCUGCCCACAUUUGGGUGGGAGGGCCGCCCUGGGCCCACCAGGCCUACACUGCACUGCUCCCAGCACCUCACUUGCCUGCACAGCCACACCUGGGUGUUUGUUCAAAACAGCCCCCUGUUUUCCUGAGGAGACCCCCAGCUAGGUGUCCAGGGGAGUGGGAUGGCAGGCAGAGCUGGGUGCCCUGGGCUGCCGAGACCUGGCAGGUUGUGAGUGAGCAUGUCCUCGGCCAGAGGUGCUGGGCGCAGUGGACUGUGGUUCCUGGGGUGGACGCAGGGGCCGUGGCUCCUGGGGGUGGAUGCAGGGGCCGUGGCUCCUGGAAGCGUCUCACUGCGCCUCUUGGUUUGCUGUCAGGGCCCCCCUCGCCCACAAUGAAAGGCUCCCGGGCCACCAGCGGCCCCCCCGGCCCCCCGGAGGGCAGCCCGGAAGGCGUGGACCUGAGCCUGACAGGCCUGCCUCCGCCCGUGUCCCGGCGCCCCCGCAGUGCCUCUGCUGCCAGGCCCGUGGCGCGCCCCGUCUCCGUGGUCGCAGGCAGUGAGCUGAGGAGGAGAGCGCCGGGGCCCCUGCCUGCGCCGGCUCCUGGGGCAGCAGGGAGCUCUUCCCGUGAAGCCACCGUCCUGCCUGCAUUAGACCCAAAGCCGGCUGUGCUGCGAGUUGCAGGGAGGUGA